GCAAAAGAGUACUAAUUAAUUUGGUUCUAAAAGAUCUGGCUGCUACUAACCUUAUUUCUAAGAAUAUGAAGGGGUAGGACUGGUGAGCCAAAAGGAUUCUUCCAGUUUGAGAGGCAUUUGGGGAUCCUCAGGGACUGGAAAGCCUCCUCAACCGGGGGCGCCAUAGCAUUUCCACCAUCCUGCGUGGGUGUUUGUUUGAGCGCAGAUGGAAUCAGGAACAGUGCAGCCUUUCUCCCGAAAAGUGCACCCCAUCAACUCAUCUGUGCUCAUGCAUGAACGUAGGGGCGCCGUGGCAUUUCCACCAUCAUGCGUGGGUGUUUGAACACAGAUGGAAUCAGGAAAAGUGCAGCCUUUCUCCCGAAAAGUGCACCCCAUCAACUCAUCUGUGCUCAUGCAUGAACGUAGGGGCGCCGUGGCAUUUCCACCA
RNAcentral lists this long non-coding RNA (427 nucleotides) under Naja naja (Indian cobra). RNAcentral describes it as "lncRNA (ENSNNAG00000012668.1)". The record is from RNAcentral. Lineage: Eukaryota; Metazoa; Chordata; Lepidosauria; Squamata; Elapidae.